CCACACUCUCACCUCAAACCUUUCCAUUCACUCACUAGCAGGCCAGCGUUUCCACCAGCGGAUGUUUUUUGAGGCCAGUGUUUCUUUGAAAAGAUGCAGGAGGCCUCAGCCACGCAGGAGACACCUACGCCUGCUAUUAUAAACCCGUCCUCUGCUGGAUGCCAGAAAGACCAGGCCGUGUUUAAUACUUAACUCUUUUCGGAAAGCGAUACCAACGGCGUCAUGCGUUUUUGGUGUGUUUCUACACACACAAAAGUAAACACGCACACAUGCACACACACUCCAACAGGAAGAGUGUGGGUGUUUGGGAGCAGCUGCAUGGAGAAGCAUCAGACCCAGCUUCCUCCUGGUGCAGCCAACACACACACACACACACGCACACACACACACACACACACACACACACACACACACACACACACACACACACACACACACACACACACACACACACACACACCACCAUCACGUGGCUCUUAUCAGACACCGAAUUCGAGAUUCAAUCUGCAGCUCUUGCAGAAAUUAGUGGGCUGUGGCGACACAGCUUGUGCAUGUUGCAACGCAAGCCGCGCGCGUGUCCUGUUUCUGUCCUCCUUCCCUGGAACGGUGACACAUCAGCACAUCACAGCCCCAAAGCCCGGGCGUUGCGCAACACUUUCCUGCGCCGAGCUGCAACCGAGGACUCGCCGGCGGCGCCCGGAGCCGACUCCACUCUCGCACCUGUGCGAGGUGAGGCCCACACGACUCGAGGCACAGAUGGACGGAGCAGAUAAAGCCAGAAAAUGUGAGCGGGCGAGCGAGCGCGAGAGAGAGAAAACAGACAGAUGGAAAUUGAACUGUUACAUCAGCGCCUCAGCUGUAAAAUGUCAAACUACGAUCAUGGCGCAAUCAUCUCGCAGUGGUUUGAUUAUAAACACGACUUGAUAAACAGGAUACACUGGCUUUGAAAAGGCUCCACGCAGCUGAAGGCAGCAUCUGAGCGGAGGCUGGUGGAACCGUCCUCUGAGCCCAGCUCGCACAGGUGCACCCCGCUGUUCACUUUCC
This 1044-nucleotide long non-coding RNA is filed under the name Betta splendens (Siamese fighting fish). RNAcentral's name for it is "lncRNA (ENSBSLG00000021027.1)". The record is from RNAcentral. Lineage: Eukaryota; Metazoa; Chordata; Actinopteri; Anabantiformes; Osphronemidae.